AUAUUGUUUUCAAUACAUUUUCAUUGGCGUAACUCAACAACAUCAAUAUUUUAAUGUUCCUCAUAUUCAACACUAGUGCUUUGAAAGGACUUGAUGAUACUUCACAACCGAAAUCCAAGGCUGCUGCUAGGUGGAUUAUUGUUAAGUGUAAUAGACAAAAAGGAAUCACAGAAUGUGGCUACUACGUGAUGCACUGGUUGUCCACGAUAAUCUUAGGAUCUUUCAAGAAUAAUUGGGAGACGUAUUUUAAUGAAGUUAGACCAUUGGAAGCAGAGAGAUUCAAGGC
Molecule: long non-coding RNA, 286 nt
Organism: Glycine soja
Lineage: Eukaryota; Viridiplantae; Streptophyta; Magnoliopsida; Fabales; Fabaceae
Exons: 3
Source: RefSeq, a predicted model, not a curated record